This 734-nucleotide ribosomal RNA is filed under the name Bacillus sp. L7-SCN-16. RNAcentral describes it as "bacterial SSU rRNA". It matches the Rfam family "Bacterial small subunit ribosomal RNA", at positions 148 to 867 of the family's 1533-position model. Lineage: Bacteria; Bacillati; Bacillota; Bacilli; Caryophanales; Bacillaceae. The record is from RNAcentral.
UCCGGGAAACCGGAGCUAAUACCGGAUAGUUCCUUGAACCGCAUGGUUCAAGGAUGAAAGACGGUUUCGGCUGUCACUUACAGAUGGACCCGCGGCGCAUUAGCUAGUUGGUGAGGUAACGGCUCACCAAGGCGACGAUGCGUAGCCGACCUGAGAGGGUGAUCGGCCACACUGGGACUGAGACACGGCCCAGACUCCUACGGGAGGCAGCAGUAGGGAAUCUUCCGCAAUGGACGAAAGUCUGACGGAGCAACGCCGCGUGAGUGAUGAAGGUUUUCGGAUCGUAAAGCUCUGUUGUUAGGGAAGAACAAGUGCAAGAGUAACUGCUUGCACCUUGACGGUACCUAACCAGAAAGCCACGGCUAACUACGUGCCAGCAGCCGCGGUAAUACGUAGGUGGCAAGCGUUGUCCGGAAUUAUUGGGCGUAAAGGGCUCGCAGGCGGUUUCUUAAGUCUGAUGUGAAAGCCCCCGGCUCAACCGGGGAGGGUCAUUGGAAACUGGGAAACUUGAGUGCAGAAGAGGAGAGUGGAAUUCCACGUGUAGCGGUGAAAUGCGUAGAGAUGUGGAGGAACACCAGUGGCGAAGGCGACUCUCUGGUCUGUAACUGACGCUGAGGAGCGAAAGCGUGGGGAGCGAACAGGAUUAGAUACCCUGGUAGUCCACGCCGUAAACGAUGAGUGCUAAGUGUUAGGGGGUUUCCGCCCCUUAGUGCUGCAGCUAACGCAUUAAGCAC